CUGCGAAUGGCUCAUUAUAUAAGUUAUCGUUUAUUUGAUAGUACCUUACUACUUGGAUAACCGUGGUAAUUCUAGAGCUAAUACAUGCUAAAAAUCCCGACUUCGGAAGGGAUGUAUUUAUUAGAUACAAAACCAAUGCCCCUCGGGGCUCUCUGGUGAUUCAUGAUAACUCGUCGAAUCGCACGGCCUUGCGCCGGCGAUGGUUCAUUCAAAUUUCUUCCCUAUCAACUUUCGAUGUUUGGGUAGUGGCCAAACAUGGUGGCAACGGGUAACGGAGGGUUAGGGCUCGACCCCGGAGAAGGAGCCUGAGAAACGGCUACUACAUCCAAGGAAGGCAGCAGGCGCGCAAAUUACCCAAUCCCGAUACGGGGAGGUAGUGACAAUAAAUACUGAUACAGGGCUCUUUUGGGUCUUGUAAUUGGAAUGAGUACAAUUUAAAUCCCUUAACGAGGAACAAUUGGAGGGCAAGUCUGGUGCCAGCAGCCGCGGUAAUUCCAGCUCCAAUAGCGUAUAUUAAAGUUGUUGUGGUUAAAAAGCUCGUAGUUGAAUCUUGGGCCUGGCUGGCCGGUCCGCCUCACCGCGUGUACUGGUCCGGCCGGGUCUUUCACUCUGCGGAACCACAUGCCCUUCAGUGGGUGUGGCGGGGAAGCAGGACGUUUACUUUGAAAAAAUUAGAGUGCUCUAAGCAGGCCAAUGCUCGAAUACAUUAGCAUGGAAUAAUAAAAUAGGACGCGCGGUUCUAUUUUGUUGGUUUCUAGGACCGCCGUAAUGAUGAAUAGGGACAGUCGGGGGCAUCAGUAUUCAGUUGUCAGAGGUGAAAUUCUUGGAUCUACUGAAGACUAACUACUGCGAAAGCAUUUGCCAAGGAUGUUUUCAUUAAUCAGGAACGAAAGUUAGGGGAUCGAAGACGAUCAGAUACCGUCGUAGUCUUAACCAUAAACUAUGCCGACUAGGGAUCGGACGAUGUUAUUUAGUUGACUCGUUCGGCACCUUACGAGAAAUCAAAGUGCUUGG
RNAcentral lists this ribosomal RNA (1014 nucleotides) under Ophiocordyceps kobayasii. Its description in RNAcentral is "SSU rRNA". It matches the Rfam family "Eukaryotic small subunit ribosomal RNA", at positions 87 to 1110 of the family's 1831-position model. Lineage: Eukaryota; Fungi; Ascomycota; Sordariomycetes; Hypocreales; Ophiocordycipitaceae. The record is from RNAcentral.